Molecule: transfer RNA, 72 nt
Rfam family: tRNA
About the family: Transfer RNA (tRNA) molecules are approximately 80 nucleotides in length. Their secondary structure includes four short double-helical elements and three loops (D, anti-codon, and T loops). Further hydrogen bonds mediate the characteristic L-shaped molecular structure. tRNAs have two regions of fundamental functional importance: the anti-codon, which is responsible for specific mRNA codon recognition, and the 3' end, to which the tRNAs corresponding amino acid is attached (by aminoacyl-tRNA synthetases). tRNAs cope with the degeneracy of the genetic code in two manners: having more than one tRNA (with a specific anti-codon) for a particular amino acid; and 'wobble' base-pairing, i.e. permitting non-standard base-pairing at the 3rd anti-codon position.
Source: Rfam
AAUUCUUUAGCUUAACCGGUAAAGCGCAUUCUUGAUAAGGAUGAUAAUCAAGUUCGAGUCUUGAAAGAAUUA